GUGAGGAAUAUUGGUCAAUGGGCGAGAGCCUGAACUAGCCAAGUCGCGUGAAGGAAGAAGGAUCUAUGGUUCGUAAACUUCUUUUGCAGGGGAAUAAAGUGCAGGACGUGUCCUGUUUUGUAUGUACCCUGAGAAUAAGGAUCGGCUAACUCCGUGCCAGCAGCCGCGGUAAUACGGAGGAUCCGAGCGUUAUCCGGAUUUAUUGGGUUUAAAGGGUGCGUAGGUGGUUUGAUAAGUCAGCGGUGAAAGUUUGCAGCUUAACUGUAAAAAUGCCGUUGAAACUGUCGGAGUUGAGUGUAAAUGAGGUAGGAGGAAUGCGUGGUGUAGCGGUGAAAUGCAUAGAUAUCACGCAGAACUCCGAUUGCGAAGGCAGCUUACUAAGCUACAACUGACACUGAAGCACGAAAGCGUGGGGAUCAAACAGGAUUAGAAACCCCGGUAGUCC
Molecule: ribosomal RNA, 445 nt
Filed under: uncultured bacterium
Lineage: Bacteria
Description: partial 16S ribosomal RNA
Rfam family: Bacterial small subunit ribosomal RNA
Source: RNAcentral